CCUACGGGGGGCAGCAGUGGGGAAUAUUGCGCAAUGGGGGGAACCCUGACGCAGCGACGCCGCGUGAAGGAAGAAGGUCUUCGGAUUGUAAACUUCUUUGAUCGGGGACGAAAUCUGACGGUACCCGAUAAAAAAGCCACGGCUAACUACGUGCCAGCAGCCGCGGUAAGACGUAGGGGGCAAGCGUUACCCGGAAUUACUGGGCGUAAAGGGGUCGUAGGCGGUAAAAGAAGUCAUCUGUGAAAACCUAUUGCUCAACGAUAGGCUAGCGGAUGAAACUGAAUUACUUGAGGGCACCAGAGGUAGACGGAAUUACCCGAGUAGGGGUGAAAUCCGCAGAUACGGGUAGGAACGCCGGUGGAGAAGUCGGUCUACUGGGGUGCACCAGACGCUGAGGCCCGAAAGCUAGGGGAGCAAACCGGAUUAGAUACCCCGGUAGUC
This 441-nucleotide ribosomal RNA is filed under the name uncultured Defluviitoga sp. RNAcentral describes it as "bacterial SSU rRNA". It matches the Rfam family "Bacterial small subunit ribosomal RNA", at positions 338 to 795 of the family's 1533-position model. Lineage: Bacteria; Thermotogati; Thermotogota; Thermotogae; Petrotogales; Petrotogaceae. The record is from RNAcentral.